UACGUAGGGUGCAAGCGUUGUCCGGAAUUAUUGGGCGUAAAGAGCUCGUAGGCGGUCUGUCGCGUCGGAUGUGAAAAUCCAGGGCUCAACCCUGGACCUGCAUUCGAUACGGGCAGACUAGAGUUCGGUAGGGGAGACUGGAAUUCCUGGUGUAGCGGUGAAAUGCGCAGAUAUCAGGAGGAACACCGGUGGCGAAAGCGGGUCUCUGGGCCGAUACUGACGCUGAGGAGCGAAAGCGUGGGGAGCAAACAGG
RNAcentral lists this ribosomal RNA (253 nucleotides) under uncultured bacterium. Its description in RNAcentral is "partial 16S ribosomal RNA". It matches the Rfam family "Bacterial small subunit ribosomal RNA", at positions 524 to 776 of the family's 1533-position model. The record is from RNAcentral.